UGCAGGUCCCUGCCGGACCCGACUGCUAUCAGAGUGGGACUAAGCCAUGCGAGUCAACGUAGCAAUGCGUGGCGAACGGCUCAGUAACACGUAGUCAACAUGCCCAGGGGACGUGGAUAACCUCGGGAAACUGAGAUUAAACCGCGAUAGGUCAAGAUUUCCGGAAUGGAUCGUGUCUUAAAUCUACAUGGCCCCUGGAUUGGACUGCGGCCGAUCAGGCUGUUGGUGAGGUAAUGGCCCACCAAACCUAUAACCGGUACGGGCUCUGAGAGGAGAAGCCCGGAGAUGGGCACUGAGACAAGGGCCCAGGCCCUAUGGGGCGCAGCAGGCGCGAAACCUCUGCAAUGGGCGAAAGCCUGACAGGGUUACUCUGAGUGAUUUCCGCUAAGGAGAUCUUUUGGCAGCUCUAAAAAUGGUGCAGAAUAAGGGGUGGGCAAGUCUGGUGUCAGCCGCCGCGGUAAUACCAGCACCCCGAGUGGUCGGGACGAUUAUUGGGCCUAAAGCAUCCGUAGCCGGUUGUGCAAGUCCUCCGUUAAAUCCAGCCGCUCAACGGAUGGGCUGCGGAGGAUACUACAGGACUAGGAGGCGGGAGAGGCAAGCGGUACUUAGUGGGUAGGGGUAAAAUCCUUUGAUCCAUUGAAGACCACCAGUGGCGAAGGCGGCUUGCCAGAACGCGCUCGACGGUGAGGGAUGAAAGCUGGGGGAGCAAACCGGAUUAGAUACCCGGGUAGUCCCAGCUGUAAACGAUGCAGACUCGGUGAUGGGCUAGCCUCGUGUCAGCCCAGUGCCGCAGGGAAGCCGUUAAGUCUGCCGCCUGGGGAGUACGGUCGCAAGACUGAAACUUAAAGGAAUUGGCGGGGGAGCACCACAAGGGGUGAAGCCUGCGGUUUCAUUG
This 895-nucleotide ribosomal RNA is filed under the name uncultured archaeon. RNAcentral describes it as "bacterial SSU rRNA". It matches the Rfam family "Archaeal small subunit ribosomal RNA", at positions 1 to 908 of the family's 1478-position model. The record is from RNAcentral.